RNAcentral lists this ribosomal RNA (1319 nucleotides) under Salmonella enterica subsp. enterica serovar Enteritidis. Its description in RNAcentral is "partial 23S ribosomal RNA". It matches the Rfam family "Bacterial large subunit ribosomal RNA", at positions 1560 to 2855 of the family's 2925-position model. The record is from RNAcentral. Lineage: Bacteria; Pseudomonadati; Pseudomonadota; Gammaproteobacteria; Enterobacterales; Enterobacteriaceae.
GGCGUGACGACGAGGCACUACGGUGCUGAAGCAACAAAUGCCCUGCUUCCAGGAAAAGCCUCUAAGCAUCAGGUAACAUCAAAUCGUACCCCAAACCGACACAGGUGGUCAGGUAGAGAAUACCAAGGCGCUUGAGAGAACUCGGGUGAAGGAACUAGGCAAAAUGGUGCCGUAACUUCGGGAGAAGGCACGCUGACACGUAGGUGAAGUGAUUUACUCAUGGAGCUGAAGUCAGUCGAAGAUACCAGCUGGCUGCAACUGUUUAUUAAAAACACAGCACUGUGCAAACACGAAAGUGGACGUAUACGGUGUGACGCCUGCCCGGUGCCGGAAGGUUAAUUGAUGGGGUCAGCGCAAGCGAAGCUCCUGAUCGAAGCCCCGGUAAACGGCGGCCGUAACUAUAACGGUCCUAAGGUAGCGAAAUUCCUUGUCGGGUAAGUUCCGACCUGCACGAAUGGCGUAAUGAUGGCCAGGCUGUCUCCACCCGAGACUCAGUGAAAUUGAACUCGCUGUGAAGAUGCAGUGUACCCGCGGCAAGACGGAAAGACCCCGUGAACCUUUACUAUAGCUUGACACUGAACAUUGAGCCUUGAUGUGUAGGAUAGGUGGGAGGCUUUGAAGUGUGGACGCCAGUCUGCAUGGAGCCGACCUUGAAAUACCACCCUUUAAUGUUUGAUGUUCUAACGUGGACCCGUUACCCGGGUUGCGGACAGUGUCUGGUGGGUAGUUUGACUGGGGCGGUCUCCUCCUAAAGAGUAACGGAGGAGCACGAAGGUUGGCUAAUCCUGGUCGGACAUCAGGAGGUUAGUGCAAUGGCAUAAGCCAGCUUGACUGCGAGCGUGACGGCGCGAGCAGGUGCGAAAGCAGGUCAUAGUGAUCCGGUGGUUCUGAAUGGAAGGGCCAUCGCUCAACGGAUAAAAGGUACUCCGGGGAUAACAGGCUGAUACCGCCCAAGAGUUCAUAUCGACGGCGGUGUUUGGCACCUCGAUGUCGGCUCAUCACAUCCUGGGGCUGAAGUAGGUCCCAAGGGUAUGGCUGUUCGCCAUUUAAAGUGGUACGCGAGCUGGGUUUAGAACGUCGUGAGACAGUUCGGUCCCUAUCUGCCGUGGGCGCUGGAGAACUGAGGGGGGCUGCUCCUAGUACGAGAGGACCGGAGUGGACGCAUCACUGGUGUUCGGGUUGUCAUGCCAAUGGCACUGCCCGGUAGCUAAAUGCGGAAGAGAUAAGUGCUGAAAGCAUCUAAGCACGAAACUUGCCCCGAGAUGAGUUCUCCCUGAGACUUAAAGUCUCCUGAAGGAACGUUGAAGACGACGACGUUG